CGAAUGCCCGAUAGGCUGGGACGAAUACCGCUUCGCUUUUGAUAUCUAUAAGCACACAAAUAAACAAAAGUAAAUACUUAUAAAAAUGGAAGCAACAAGACCAAGUGCCUUGUGGACAUUCAAGCUGAUGGCGCCGUAUGUGCUUCUUGGCUACGUGACCGGCCUCGUGAUGACACUCGCAUGGAACUUUUGGCAACUGGGACACUUCAACCUGGGAAUUAACCUGACCUUCGCGAUUCCUUUGGUGACUGUCCUGAUGCUUCUCUACAGCCGACCAGUAAGGUGCAUCCUGGCAAUAGCCGUUCCCUCGCUGUGCAGCUCCCGGGGCAGGGCAUUCCUCAUCAGCCUCGCGCUCGUCCUGGCCGCCGUGGGCCCCACGGCCAACAUCCUAGCCAACCUGAAGGUAAUGCUUCGCAGUCUUGCCUGCGGUCAGGAGCUGUUGCGCCAGGCGCUCGGCCAGAUGUUGGAUGUGAUCCUGGAGCCGGUAAAUGCCAUCCAGUUGGCCGUGGACCUGUUGCUCCAGGAAGUGCGCCGGGUGCUUAAGCAGGCCAUGGUGGUGCUACUUCGCAUCCAAGAGCAUCUGAUCGCAAUCAUUGACACCCUCAAGAACUGCGCCGCUUGGCUGAAAUCCGUCGUUGAUCUGUGCAACACGGAAAUGGGCACUCCGUGGGAGCGCUGCAAAAACACGGCGCACCACGCUAUGGUCAGCUGCCAGGCCAAGAUGGGCGUCUUUAAGGCGCUCUGCCAUGCCACCAAACUAUUCCUGGCCCUGUGCUAUCCCGCAAAAAUCCUCGAUGUGUUUUGUAGCGGUUACUGGGACCACAGCUGGGCCCUGCUGGACAAGAUCUUAGAGCGCUACCGUGAAUUUGUAAGGCACAUAGAGCAAAUGUUUGAUGCCAAUAUCACCUUCCAGCACGAGUUUUUCUUCGAUACAAACUCCUCCAAGAGUUUGGCGGACGUGGGCGAAGAGAUAAUCCAAGACAUCAACCAGCGACUCUCACCGUUUAUCUUUCUGCAAAGCUUCAUGGACAUUCUCUGCUGGGUCAUGGUGGUUACCGUUAUUUUUAAAGCCAUCAUUUUCUACCUGCGCUACAUGUACAGCCGGCAAUUUCAGAAUGUGUUCCUGACUCAGACGCUACGUGAUAUCGACAAGCUGCACGAUAAACACGGAUUCCCUGUUUUGCUGCCGUUGCAACGGCUUGAGAAGGCGAAAUACAUGAAGCUCACCAGUUUACGUCUGACACUUUUCGAGCUCGCGACUAUUGUUGAAAAUGUCUUCUUUAUGAUAACCACCUGCCUGCAGCUCUUUGCUAUCUGCUUUCUUGACUACGGGCUGUUCUGGCUGCUGGCCACAAUGUCCUUUUACGGCCACAAGGAGGCCGGACUGGAGGUGCCCGCCUACAUCGAUCUGGAUAUCAAGGGCGGGGGAUUUGUGGCCGACAUCAUGCGGGGAAUCGCGAAUGCCUUUCGACCCCUCACCCAGAAAAGCGUCCUGGACACCAAUCCUUGCCUACCGCUGCCCGUGAAGCCCGACUAUGCGAAGUAUGUCCUGAUAUUGUUGCUCUGCCUGCUCGCCUGGCUGUUGGUGCUGGCCGAGCCGUAUGUGUUGCGCACUCGUCAUCUUAUAAUGGCCUACUUUUACCCGGAGAGAGCCAAGGAAAGAGCCAUUUUCCUAUACGAAAAGAUCUCAGAUGAUAGAUCAAGCAUCUUUAAGUUUAUACGUCGCAGGAAGCGAAAUGAGUUCAAUCAUAAGCGGAAUGUGGAGCAACCUUUAUGUUUCAACUGGCUAAGCAGGGGCUUUGCAUGCCUCAUCAGCUGGAGCUGCUGCUGCUCCUCCUAUCAAAAUACUGAGAGAUGCACCAUAUGCGGCAUAUCCCUGACAUCCUCGACUCGUAACCCCUGCAACACUCCAGGCUGCAAGGGCGUCUACUGCGAUGAAUGCUUCGAAAAGUCUUACAAGAAGUGCUGCUUAUGCAGCGGACCGAUAGAAUAUGGCGAUUUCUCUGACGUUUCUGAAGUGGACGACUCUUCGGACUACUCCGAAAAGGAGUCAUUCGGGAAGAAGCGCUACAGGGAGAUCUGCGACGGACGGGGUCGGCCAGGGAAGAAGAUCGAAAUAAAACCUUAGAGCAUUCCCCCUUUUUGCUACACAUUCAGACUUAAAGAAGAAAAUCAACAUAUUGAAGAAUACUUGUCAUUUGAUUGAAUCAAUGAAAAUAUAUUGUUUAAGAAACUGUACGCCAAGGCCAUUUAUGAUAAUUAUGCAGACACGCCGGACGAGCUUGCCUUCAAGAAGGGCGACAUCCUCACCGUCAUUGAACAGGA
Drosophila elegans is the source of this 2325-nucleotide RNA transcript. It is a transcript of the gene named DC-STAMP domain-containing protein 2, with no coding region annotated. NCBI's taxonomy places the organism in Eukaryota, Metazoa, Arthropoda, Insecta, Diptera, Drosophilidae. The transcript has 10 exons. The record is from RefSeq and is a predicted model, not a curated record.